This 94-nucleotide transfer RNA is filed under the name Promethearchaeota archaeon. Its description in RNAcentral is "Candidatus Lokiarchaeota archaeon tRNA-Pro". It matches the Rfam family "tRNA". From Rfam's summary of the family: Transfer RNA (tRNA) molecules are approximately 80 nucleotides in length. The record is from RNAcentral. Lineage: Archaea; Promethearchaeati; Promethearchaeota.
GGGGAGGUAGUCUAGCUUGGUAAGAGAAUCUUUCUCCCAAAAUGAUUCUUGGUUCGGAUCCAAGAGGCCGCGGGUUCAAAUCCCGUCUUCCCCA